UCUCUAAACACUAUUCUCUCUCAAUAUUCUCUUUAUUCUUCUUCAUUCGAAUUGUUCUUUAUUCUCUCAACCUCUCACGGUCAUAAACUCUCUAAAUCUCAAAGUUUCAAACCGUGAGAUGGUGUUUUGUUUUUCUUUUGGGUUCACUUGCUUUCUCAAGGAAGUAGAGCAAGUGCGAAGUGUUCUGAAGUAGUCACAUGAUCUGGAGGUCAGUUGUGGCUAGAUUCAAACACUAAAGGCUUCAAGAAAGCCAUAAAGAUUCGCAGCACAAUGCUUGGAGUUUGAACCAGUAACCAUAAAGCUACGGAGACCACAAGACAAGCCCAACAUAGUCUUAACCCGACUGACUUGAAGAUGGUGGACCAAAGAGGCUGACCUGAAGACAGCGGACCCCAAGGUUGCUAAGGUGGAAGUUCAAGUGGAGAGGAAAGCUGGUUUAACGAGGAGGAGUAGGAUCAUGGAAAUUCUCAAAAGAAGGAAAAGAUGGCAUGAAGAGGUGCAUAAUAAGGAGAAAUCAAGUCAAUAAAGGCUAAAGGAAUGAAAACACUUGGGAGGAAGGAGCCAGUUCAAAAUCAAUUUCAAACCAAGGCCAUCGCUACAUCAACUUGGCCUCUGGUCCUCUUUGGCGUCUCGACGACCAAGCUUGCAGGGGAGUAUUAGAGAGGAAGAAGAAAUGAAGUAGGAGAGGUCAAAGUCAAGAAGACAAGGCCGAACAAAAGAAAGAAAAGAGGAGGGGAGUCAAGGCCAAAGUUACAAGACAAAGCCGAAGACAUCUAAGACUCCUCAAUAAAGAACUUCAAGUAAUCAGAUUUUUACUUAGGAGAAGUAACGCUCAAGCAAAAGAAGAAUCAAGUAAACAAGGACUGAAUGAAGAUUAAGCCAAUGGAGCAAACAAAAUUCACUCUAGGCUUCAAGAUGGUGCAAGGGCUGAAUUGUAUGGUUACAAUGAAGGCCCAAGACGUGUCUAGACUAAGCAACCCAUGAAGAAAGGAAGAGAAGGUGGCUGCUAAGUUCAAAUAUGGUUUAUGCGCCAAAGGGAGAUGUCACAUGUUCUUGGAAGCAAAAGAAUCAUAUGUGAGCAUAAAAGUGACCUAGGAGAGGUCACUAUCACUCCAAGAAGGCGCCCAUAGCUGUUGGAGUCAAGAGUCACACAUGUUCCCUUAAUUUAAAUUCAAAAUAGGGACAUGUGACUCUCAAGAGUGUGAACACACCAAAAAAAACCAUGAGAUGUCACUUUCAAGAGUGUGAACACAAAAUAAAGAAGACAUGUGACUCUGUAAUACAGAACAAUAUUUUAGAAUGUCCACACUAGGGUUUCUCAUGUGUAAUUCUCUAUAUCUAUGGCUGUAAUGUGUUCACAAGCAUUAUCUUAAUAUACACAAGUAGUU
This is a long non-coding RNA of Eutrema salsugineum, 1388 nucleotides long. RefSeq lists it as uncharacterized. NCBI's taxonomy places the organism in Eukaryota, Viridiplantae, Streptophyta, Magnoliopsida, Brassicales, Brassicaceae. The transcript is spliced from 3 exons. The record is from RefSeq and is a predicted model, not a curated record.